RNAcentral lists this ribosomal RNA (338 nucleotides) under uncultured Bacillota bacterium. RNAcentral describes it as "bacterial SSU rRNA". It matches the Rfam family "Bacterial small subunit ribosomal RNA", at positions 28 to 351 of the family's 1533-position model. Lineage: Bacteria; Bacillati; Bacillota. The record is from RNAcentral.
GACGAACGCUGGCGGCAUGCCUAAUACAUGCAAGUCGAGCGGAGUUUAAUUCGAAGCUUGCUUCGAAUUAAACUUAGCGGCGGACGGGUGAGUAACACGUAGGCAACCUGCCUGUAAGACUGGGAUAACUACCGGAAACGGUAGCUAAUACCGGAUAAUUCUUUCUUCGCAUGACGAGAGAAUGAAAGACGGAGCAAUCUGUCACUUAUGGAUGGGCCUGCGGCGCAUUAGCUAGUUGGUGAGGUAAUGGCUCACCAAGGCGACGAUGCGUAGCCGACCUGAGAGGGUGAACGGCCACACUGGGACUGAGACACGGCCCAGACUCCUACGGGAGGCUG